GUGUCAGCAGCCGCGGUAAAACGUAGGAGACAAACGUUAUCCGGAGUUACUGGGCGUAAAGGGCGUGUAGGUGGUUGUGUAAGUUCGGCGUGAAAUUUCUCGGCUUAACCGGGAGAGGUCGUCGGAUACUGCACGACUAGAGGACGGUAGAGGCGUGUGGAAUUCCGGGUGUAGUGGUGAAAUGCGUAGAGAUCCGGAGGAACACCAGUGGCGAAGGCGACACGCUGGGCCGUACCUGACACUGAGGCGCGAUAGCAUGGGGAGCAAACAGGAUUAGAAACCCUAGUAGUCC
RNAcentral lists this ribosomal RNA (292 nucleotides) under uncultured bacterium. RNAcentral describes it as "partial 16S ribosomal RNA". It matches the Rfam family "Bacterial small subunit ribosomal RNA", at positions 505 to 796 of the family's 1533-position model. The record is from RNAcentral.